UAGAGUUUGAUCCUGGCUCAGAACGAACGCUGGCGGCGUGCCUAACACAUGCAAGUCGAGCGAGAAAGCCCGCAAGGGUGAGUAAAGCGGCGCACGGGUGCGUAACACGUGGAUAAUCUGCCCUGAAGUCCGGAAUAACUCGCCGAAAGGCGUGCUAAUGCCGGAUGAGACCACGGGAGCUCCGGCUCCUGCGGGAAAAGGUGGCCUCUGUACACAAGCUAUCGCUUCAGGAUGAGUCCGCGGCCCAUCAGCUCGUUGGCGGGGUAAUGGCCCACCAAGGCUACGACGGGUAGCUGGUCUGAGAGGACGAUCAGCCACACUGGAACUGAGACACGGUCCAGACUCCUACGGGAGGCAGCAGUGGGGAAUCUUGCGCAAUGGGCGAAAGCCUGACGCAGCAACGCCGCGUGUGUGAUGAAGGUCUUCGGACCGUAAAGCACUGUCGCGAGGGACGAAUAAGGGGCGGGCUAACAUCCCGUUCCGAUGACGGUACCUCGAGAGGAAGCACCGGCUAACUCUGUGCCAGCAGCCCCGGUCAA
RNAcentral lists this ribosomal RNA (539 nucleotides) under uncultured bacterium. RNAcentral's name for it is "bacterial SSU rRNA". It matches the Rfam family "Bacterial small subunit ribosomal RNA", at positions 1 to 524 of the family's 1533-position model. The record is from RNAcentral.